UAAAAGACGAGAAGACCCUAUAAAUCUUUAUAGUAAGUUUAUUUUAAUAGAUUAUUUUAUAUAAAUUAAGUUUUAAUAUUUAGCUAUUUUAUUGGGGUGAUAUAAAAAUUUAAUUAACUUUUUUAAUAAAAUUACUUAAAUUAAAGAUUUUAAAAUUAUGAUCUAUUAUUAAUAAUUCAAAGAAUAAGAUACUUUAGGGAUAACAGCGUAAUUUUAAUUUUAAGUUCUUAUUAAAAUUAAAGAUUGCGACCUCGAUGUUGGAUUAAAAUUUAAUUUAAAUGCAAAGGUUUAAAAAUUAAGUCUGUUCGACUUUUAAAAUUUUACAUGAUCUGAGUUCAAACCGGUGUGAGCCAGGUUGGUUUCUAUCUUUAAUAAAAAAGAAUUUUUUAGUACGAAAGGAUCGAGAAUUUUAAAUGAAUUUAUAAAUUUAUGAAAAAAAUUAAUUUAAGGUUAAUUCGAUUAAUUAAA
This is a ribosomal RNA of 468 nucleotides. The stretch from base 199 to 357 matches the Rfam family "Bacterial large subunit ribosomal RNA", at positions 2473 to 2632 of the family's 2925-position model.